GAUCAUGGCUCAGGACGAACGCUGGCGGCGUGCCUAACACAUGCAAUUCGAACGAAGCACUGUGGAUCAAGACUUCGGUCAAGAGAAACUUUGACUUAGUGGCGGACGGGUGAGUAACGCGUGAGGAACCUGCCUUUCAGUGGGGGACAACAGUUGGAAACGACUGCUAAUACCGCAUAAUGUUUCCGGGUCGCAUGAUCUGGGAACCAAAGCUUUAUGUGCUGAAAGAUGGCCUCGCG
Molecule: ribosomal RNA, 239 nt
Filed under: uncultured bacterium
Lineage: Bacteria
Description: partial 16S ribosomal RNA
Rfam family: Bacterial small subunit ribosomal RNA
Source: RNAcentral